AGUGAACGCUGGCGGCGUGCCUAAUACAUGCAAGUCGAACGAACGCACGAUAAGCGUUCGCUUCUGACGUUGGCGGCGGGCGGGUGAGUGAGGCAUGGAUAACCUUCUUAUAAUACUUGGGGAACUUCGGGGAAACGGAGCUAAUACUGGCGCAUAUAUUGAACGGCAUGAAUCAGUAGUGAUAGACAGCUUUCCUGUUACAUAUAGAUGGAGCCGGACCGGAUUAGCUAGUUGGUAAGGUAACGGCUUACCAAGGCAACGAUCCGUAGCUGAGCUGAGAGGGUGAUCGGCCACACUGGAACUGAGACACGGUCCAGACUCCUACGGGAGGCAGCAGUAGGGAAUAUUGGGCAAUGGGCGAAAGCCUGACGCAGCCAUACCGCGUGAGUGAUGAAGGUCUUCGGAUCGUAAAACUCUGUUAUUAGGAAAGAAAAGAAGUAGAAGAAUACCCCGCUGUUCUGACGGUACCCAAUGAGUAAGCCACGGCUAACUUCGUG
This 497-nucleotide ribosomal RNA is filed under the name uncultured bacterium. Its description in RNAcentral is "partial 16S ribosomal RNA". It matches the Rfam family "Bacterial small subunit ribosomal RNA", at positions 29 to 507 of the family's 1533-position model. The record is from RNAcentral.